CCUACGGGAGGCAGCAGUGAGGGAUAUUGGUCAAUGGACGAGAGUCUGAACCAGCCAAGUAGCGUGAAGGAUGACUGCCCUAUGGGUUGUAAACUUCUUUUAUAUGGGAAUAAAAUGUUCCACGUGUGGGAUUUUGUAUGUACCAUAUGAAUAAGGAUCGGCUAACUCCGUGCCAGCAGCCGCGGUAAUACGGAGGAUCCGAGCGUUAUCCGGAUUUAUUGGGUUUAAAGGGAGCGUAGGUGGAUUGUUAAGUCAGUUGUGAAAGUUUGCGGCUCAACCGUAAAAUUGCAGUUGAAACUGGCAGUCUUGAGUACAGUAGAGGUGGGCGGAAUUCGUGGUGUAGCGGUGAAAUGCUUAGAUAUCACGAAGAACUCCGAUUGCGAAGGCAGUUCACUGGACUGCAACUGACACUGAGGCUCGAAAGUGUGGGUAUCAAACAGGAUUAGAUACCCGUGUAGUC
Molecule: ribosomal RNA, 460 nt
Filed under: uncultured bacterium
Lineage: Bacteria
Description: partial 16S ribosomal RNA
Rfam family: Bacterial small subunit ribosomal RNA
Source: RNAcentral